UCCCCUAACACCUUUCCCUGUGCAGUAAAAGUAAUCAAAUUUCCAAUUCAUCCUCUCUUGUCCCCCCCGCAUCAAGCUUAAUCGAUUCACGAUAAUGUAUCUGAAUACCCUAAUUUCAUAUCAGAACUCCAUGAAUUUUGUUAAUAACCACUUCAACAACAAGCUUUUUGGCGAUCUCUUAUGGCGACUGAAGUUCCAAUUUCGGAACUCCGUUUUCCAUAUUCGGCCCUCAAUGGUUAUUCCAGUAAAGCGUUUUAGCAGCUCGACGUUAUGACCAAAGUAGAGCCUCAGAGGAGUCGAGGGAAGGUGAUCUAACUCGUAAUGAGAAUACCAACUACGUUAAUGGAAGAGGCGUUAUUCAGAGCAGCUGUAAGUGGAGACCUCAGGGUCUUGAGUGAGAGAAACAUUUCUAGCGAGGAAGGGAAAUAAGAAUACGGUGGAUGUACUCAUUUCGUACAGUGGUUGUGCAACCAAAGAGCAAAGCGAAGCCGAGGAAGAUUGGUUUUGGAUGGCCAAGAACUCACAAGGUGAUACACCUCUUCACUUGGCAUUAAGCAGUAACAAGUUGAAUGUAGCUAUGGAUCUACUAAAAGUGGGUUCGGUCAACGUGCUUUCAUUGGUCAAUAAUUCACAGGAAAGUCCUCUACACAUUUUCCUCAGAUAUUGCGCUGGUACACACCCUAUACCUAAUGUGUUAUUGGAGGAAGGAGUGCUGAACUUGCAAGGAUUGCACAUGGCUCAAGGUGACGGGAUUGGGGCCAAAAAAAAAGGUGUCCUAUUAGAACUUCUGAAAUACACACCCACACUCUGCAUUCGUGAUGUGAAUGGGCAAACACCUUUGCUGAUAGCUGCUCAGCAGGGGUGCGUUCUGGCUGUACAGCUUAUAGUCUCACAUUGCCCUCAGUCUGCUGAGAUCUGUGACCCUGAAGGUAGAACUGUACUACAUCUUUUGAAAAAUCUGAUGCUAAAAGUAAAUACAUGGGAGAUGGAAGCUGUUGACUUCCCAUCCGUCAGAUCAUACAAGGAGGUCAAGGAGUUGCUCAGCAUCCCCGAAAUCAAUGCUCUCAAGGACAGGAAGGACUGUCAUGGGAAUACACCUGCUCAUGCAGCGCUCGGCUGCCAAGCUUUUGUCUUGGCUAAAGUCUUAAUGGAAUGCUUGGCUGAUUUUACAAUCUUGAACAAAAAUGGUGACUCGGCAUUAACCAUCAUCGAGUCACUCCCAGAUUUCCCCAUACAAAUGGAGGAACUGAGAGUGACAGAGAAAUCGACAAGAAAAGGAAUGGACAUAGAGCUCCUGCAAGCAGCAUUAGAGGAGGAUGUGAGUUUGUUCAAGAAAAAAGGAGGACGAGAUGUAGAGAGUGGUGAAAUCAAAUAUGAUGAUGAUUAUUUUCUGAGUCAAACUCUUGAAGGAUCUAGCAUCCUUCAUUUAGCUGCCAAUUCUGGCCACCUGAAGUUCAUAGAGGAAGCCGUAAAACAUUUUCCAACUCUUGUUCUUACAACUGACUGUAGUGGUGAAACUCCUCUCCACUGUGCUUCUAGGCUCAAGAGCAAUCACCUUGUUGCAACAACAUUGUUGCGACUCACUAAGGAGACCAUUGACAAGUUCAAGGAACAAGCAGGGGGUAAGCUGGUUCAUGCCUUGCCUUGGAGACAAAAGAAUUCCAAAGGAAACAUGCCACUUCAUGAAGCAAUAUGCUCGAGUAAUUAUGACGCAGCCAUAGCUUUGCUGCAUGUGGAUCCUAAAUUGUUUUUAUUGCCAAACAGAACUGGCGAAACUCCCCUCCACAUUUUGGCAAGAUAUGGCGCUUAUACCACAAUGGACAAGCUAGAGAACCUAAUUGAUCUGCUCAUGGGUCAAAAUGGCAGUCUAAUUGCUUACACACGGGACGCAGAUGGGUUCACCCCUUUAUUGAGGGCUGCUUACUGUGGACGCUUUCUAGUGGCUUAUCAUUUAGUCAUGCUUUGCCCUGCAUCUAUAAAAUUUAGGGAUCCUUAUGGUAGGAUUUUCUUGCACCAUCUAAGGGUUGUAUCUAAUGCUGAAAUUGAUGCCACAAAUGACAUGUUCUAUGCUUUCGAAAGCAUUCUGCCCCUUCUGACAAAAGACCUAAGGAGUGCUCAGGAUUGUGAUGGAAACACACCAUUGCAUUUUGCCUUAAUAGAAAGAAACUUCGCUGCAGCAAAAUUUCUUUUGCUAUGUUGUAUUGAAGCGCAAGUGAGGACCGAGUUAACCAUUACAAAUAACAUGGGCCACUCUGUUUUAGAUCUUUUGGCAGCACUAGCUGCCGAUAUUCCUGGUGCGAACGAGUUGAAAGACCUCGGGUUCCUUGCUCAAAGGAAACUUAAAGAGGCAGCCCGCAGUAUAAAGAUGAUGUCAGCAGAGGUUUACAGGGGUGCAGUAAACGGAAAAGUGGGUUUAUUUUACUGGUGUUCAGAUAUGGAUCCGAUUAGUGGUGCAGUCAAUGACAGUGCAUUUCUUUCUCAAGCGCCUGAUGGAAGUAAUAUUCUCCACAUAGCCAUUCAACAUGGCCAGGAGGCCUUUGUGGAGGAAGCAAUAAAACGCUAUCCAGACUUAAUUUUUGAGGUAGAUUGUAAUGGUAAUACCCCAUUACACAUUGCUUCCAUGUUCUAUGAGGGUGAUUUCAAACACCUACUCGCAUGUGUCGAAGAUCACUGCGUAAAAAAAUUCCAAGAAUCUUACCGUGAACCUUUUAUGCCCCCCUGGAGAGUGAAAAAUUCAAAAGGCAACACCCCACUACAUGAGGCAAUGCAAUCAAUUUUAAGUUGUGAGAGCUGUGAAGCUCUUUUACUCACUGGUCCCGAAAUGAUUCUAUCUGUCAAUGAUGCUGGGGAGACUCCUCUUCAUGUAUUUGCUAGACAUGGCUUAUAUGACGCUGGUGAGGAUAAGAUAGAUACAUUGGAGAUGUUACUCUCCCAGAAUGGCUCCGCUGCGUACACGAGGGAUAAAGAAGGUCUAACUCCUUUGCUAAGAGCAGCCAAGACUGGUCGUCUUCUCGUAGCACUCAUCAUUCUUAAGUAUUACCCUCAGUCAAUACAACUUCGAGAUCUUAAUGGACGUUCAUUCUUGCACCUCUUGCAUUUUACUGGCUUUGAAGUUGAUGAAAGUCUCGAUGAAAAGUUGGCGUAUGCAGGAAUGGCCAAACCAUUUUUUAGGAUUCCAGAAGUAGAUUUCCUCCGAAAUGCGGUGGAUUUUGACGGGAAUACACCUUUGCUUUUUGCCAUAAAGGAGGGAAACUCAUUCAAUGCAAAGUUUAUUGCACAAAGAUUCAUGGAAACUGAUGAGGAUGACACAAUGGGACUGGUAGUAAAGCGUAAUAAUGAAGGUCAAAACGUCUUAGAUUUGCUUGCAUUACAUGAUGAUGCCCCAGAUGAGGUUCUCCGACUUUUAGAGAAAAAAGGAAGGUUUGAAAUGACAUUUGUUCGGAGUACGCAUGGGAUACGCAAGACGCAAAUAAAAGAAAUGGCCAACACCUUAUCAGUGGUUGCAGCACUGUUGGCAACUCUAACAUUUGCAGCUGCGUAUCAAGUACCCGGUGGAUAUGAUGAUGGUGGCACCCCGAUUCUUCUUAGAAAAGCGGCAUUUCAGGUGUUUAUAAUUUCCAACACGUGUGCAUUGUGUGGAUCAAUGGCUGUAUUAUUCUCUCUUCUGUGGGUCAUGUCAACCGGAAAAACUGCUGAUUCUUUCCUUCUACUGGAUCUCUCCAUCUCACUUCUCUUAAUAUCCUUUAAUGCGACUUUGGUGGCUUUUAUGACUGGGAUUUAUGUGGCCUUAUCUCACAAGACUCUCUGGUUGGCUGUCUUCAUCUGCGUAGUAUGUUCUACUGUCAUCGCUUUGAUGAGGAAAUCUAUCAUUCUCCGCAUUACUCGAUUUCUUAGAUUAUUUUACAUUACUUUCUACCAUAUCAAGUCUGGGAAUUACACUGAUGCCAAAGAUAUAACUGAAGGGAUAUCACGUCGUGCUCGAUUAGUGGAAUAACAUAAUGCUGUGUUUGGAUUCAAGGAUUUCAUUUGAAAUCCUGGAAUUGGACAAAUUCUGUGUUUGGCAAACCAAGAAUUUGAAAUGCUGAAUUUGGCCCAAAUCCUUUAACUAAUGUUACAGGCCCAUAUUUGUGUAAUUUGAAAUGACACAAUUUUUGCUGGUAUUUGAAAUUCUUUUAGCAGCCUCAGCCCACUUUUAUUUGUGUUAUUCCCCUUCCCACAAUGUAACUCACUUUCUCCCUCCUCUCCCAAACCCUCUCCGGCUCUCCCUCCACCAACAAAUUAAACCUCACCGUCUCCACCACCACAACUACCUCCACCUCCACCUCCAUCUCUAUCUCUUGAUCUCUUUCUUUCAAUUCGCUCUCUCCUCUGUCAUAUUCAUGCAUCGAGUGCGACCGGCAACGACCGGCGCCACCCACUCUUUGCCGUUGUAAAAACUACCACCGCCUCAACCAAACACGAUUUUCUCUCUCCUCUCCCAAACACACUCGAUCUCUCUCCUCCACCGCCUCAACCACCAGUUGAGGUCGCCGUUUCUUCUUCUCAAGAUUUUCAAUUGAUAAAAUUUAUAGAUUUGAGGAAAUUGGAAGAAAGAUCAGAUUGAAGGCGAUUGAUAAAAUCAGAUUGAAGGCAAUUGAUAAAAUCAGAUUGAAGGAGAAGCAAGCUGGAAGAAAAAUCAGAUUGAAGGCAAUUGAUAAAAUUUACAGAUUGGAGGAAAUUGUUUGAUUUUUGGUUUGGGGGAAUUUUAGGUGUUGAAUUGAUUGAUGGCUAGAAGUUACAGUAAAUUAAAGGAAAAAGAAAAUUAGUUUCUGGAAAUUAAAGUGAAUGAGAUCUUUUAAUUCGAAUGAAGAGACACAAAAUUUGACAUAUUUCAAUUACUCAUGGGUCAACAGACAACAAGAAAAAAGACAAGAAGCAAGAACUAAAAAUUAUAACAAAGAAGCUCCCUCCGAUGAGCCCAAGUCAUGAGUUGGACCGGAAACCGCAAAAUAUUCGAAUAAGGCCAGGAGAUUCCGCAAUUGGAGAGAGGUUAAGUCACCAAAAUUGGAUCAGGGAGAAGAUUCCAAUGUAACAACUAACAAGGAACAACACUAGAUUAGAAGAAUCUGAAUAAAUAAGAAGUUAAGAACUUUAGUGAAACCUCAACGAAUCACCAUAUGAAGGCCCAAAUGACAAGCCAUCAACUCAACCUAAAGCGCAGAACCAAGAAAACAGGCCCGGGCUCCUCCCCCAGAGAUAAAAGUACACAUAGGUUGAUGCAAACACAAGCUAAGCAAGAUUACUUGUACAAGAUUUGACAAGCUAAGCAAGAAAUUGUAAACAAUUGUGCUUUCUUUAAAAAUUGUUUUACAUGAAAAUAUUCCUCGUUUAAAAUAUUAUUCCGUCAAAAUAAAUGAGGCAGGAGGUCAUGGUGAAAUGUUAGGUGAGCUAACCUGACAUAAUUCUGAAAUCAGUUACCCUUAAGUAGUUAGAUAUGUUGUUACUUUGAUAUGUUAGUGUAGUAUAUAAAUACAAUGUAAUCCAUCAUUAUAUUACUCAAUCAAUAAAAUUUACAAAGUUUCCUACUCUUCUCUCUUCUAUCUAUUGUUUUUUCUCUUCUCUUUCUUUCUUAAGAAUUUUGUUUCUCUCUUUCUCUUUUUCUUUCUCUAUCUUAUAUUUUCCUCCAUUAACACAUCAAGUAGUUGAGAAAGGUAUCAGAGCCAAC
This is an RNA transcript of Spinacia oleracea (spinach), 5704 nucleotides long. RefSeq lists it as uncharacterized. The transcript has 9 exons. Lineage: Eukaryota; Viridiplantae; Streptophyta; Magnoliopsida; Caryophyllales; Amaranthaceae. The record is from RefSeq and is a predicted model, not a curated record.